Molecule: ribosomal RNA, 309 nt
Filed under: Bacteroides caecigallinarum
Lineage: Bacteria; Pseudomonadati; Bacteroidota; Bacteroidia; Bacteroidales; Bacteroidaceae
Description: partial 23S ribosomal RNA
Rfam family: Bacterial large subunit ribosomal RNA
Source: RNAcentral
AAACCCCCUCGCCGAAAGACUAAGGUUUCCUGAUCAACGCUAAUCGGAUCAGGGUAAGUCGGGACCUAAGGUUCAGCCGAACGGCGAGACCGAUGGCAGAAACGGUAAAAAUUCCGUUACUACCUCCAAUGGUGACGUGGAGACGCAGCAGUGACACCACCGCCGGCUGACGGAAUAGCCGGUUAAAGAGUGUAGGCGUUGAUUCCCGCAGGCAAAUCCACGGGAAGAGUCGAACUUGAGAGUACACCAACUCCUUCGGGAAGCGGUGAUAGUGUGGGUAAUCAGACUGCCGAGAAAAUCCGCUAAACU